Parelaphostrongylus tenuis is the source of this 73-nucleotide non-coding RNA. The record is from the annotation of a GenBank genome assembly. Lineage: Eukaryota; Metazoa; Nematoda; Chromadorea; Rhabditida; Metastrongylidae.
GCGUCGGUAGUGCAACGGUCCAACACGCGUUCCCUGAUAGGGUGAAAGGUGGGUUCAAAUCCCACCUGACGCU